GAUGAAGAACGCAGCGAAAUGCGAUAAGUAAUGUGAAUUGCAGAAUUCAGUGAAUCAUCGAAUCUUUGAACGCACCUUGCGCCCUUUGGCUAUUCCGAAGGGCAUGCCUGUUUGAGUAUCGUGAACACCUCAACUCUCAUGGUUUGCCAUGAUGAGCUUGGACUUUGGGGGUUUUGCUGGCCUUUGGUCGGCUCCUCUCAAACGGAUCAGCUUUCCAGUGUUUGGUGGCGUCACGGGUGUGAUAACUAUCUACGCCUGUGGUUUUCUGCCAGAUAACCUUCAGCGAUGGAGGUUCGCUGGGGCUCAUAAAUGUCUCUCUUCAGUGGAGACAGCUUUUUGGACGUUUGAUCUCAAAUCAGGUAGGACUACCCGCUGAACUUAAGCAUAUCAAUAAGGGAGGA
RNAcentral lists this unclassified non-coding RNA (401 nucleotides) under soil metagenome. RNAcentral's name for it is "partial contains 5.8S ribosomal RNA, internal transcribed spacer 2, and large subunit ribosomal RNA". The stretch from base 1 to 121 matches the Rfam family "5.8S ribosomal RNA", at positions 35 to 154 of the family's 154-position model. The record is from RNAcentral.